UAAGGUGGCUAUAGCAACGGGGCUCACCUCUUCCCAUUCCGAACAGAGAAGUUAAGCCCGUUAGCGCAGAUGGUACUGCAUUUUUGUGGGAGAGUAUGUCGUCGCCUUUU
Molecule: ribosomal RNA, 110 nt
Filed under: Gillisia hiemivivida
Lineage: Bacteria; Pseudomonadati; Bacteroidota; Flavobacteriia; Flavobacteriales; Flavobacteriaceae
Source: RNAcentral